ACUAAAAAGUAUUUAAUCUUAGUACAGUUUGAACGUUAUCUGGUAGUUUUAACUCAUGCAAGUCGAUUACUAUUUUAACAAAUAUAGUCGGCGUACAGGCGAGGAAAAUAGAUAGAUACCUCAUAUACAUGCCUUUGAGGUAUAGUAUGGGAUUCGUCUUGUGUCUAGCAGAUUCUCGAUAAAAGGAUCUAUGACGGACAGGAAAGGGUGAAAGCUCCAAUUCCCGCAAUUGGUUUGAGAAUAGCCGAAGGUACGGUAAGUACACUGCAGAGGAGAAUCUUGGGCAAUGCUCGAAAGAGUGACCUAGCUAACCAGAACUUUAGUAAUAAAGUGUCGUAAGGGAGGAAAAUGACGUUACCUUACUAUAAGUCCUAUCUAAGUAUCGUGACAGCAGAUGCGGUUACACGAACUGGGCGAACGUUAAACAAAUGAAUAGGUAUUAAGGAUCCGUAGGCUGUUUUCAGAAUUGAAAACUAUGAAUCAAAUAGAGGAGAAUAGAAUGCUAGAAGUAGGGCUGAUAUCUGCUGAUCUCUAGUGGAAUACUCAAAGCGAAAGCAAUUCUCUGGCUAAUGAUUGACGAUGAGGGAUGAAAGCACGGGUAGCAAAAUGGAUUAGAUACCCAAGUAGUCCGUGCCGUAAACGAUUUACACUUUCUAUUUAGCAUAUGUUAGACAGUAAGCAAAUGCUGCAAGUGUAACACCUUGUGAGUACAGCCCCAAGGCAGAAAGCAAAAAGAUUAGAUCAUCCUAAAAACCCGGAGUGGAGCAUGUUAUUUAAUACGAUAACCCGCGUAGAAUCUUACCUCUUCUUGAAUAUAUAAAUCAUAUCGAGCUUCUGGGGAAGCGAGGGCCUCCCUCAUUCUCUAUGAUCACUCGGUCGUCAUUUAUAUACAGGUGCUGCAUGGCUGUCGACAGUUCGUGUCGUGAGACGUUAGGUUUGGUCCACAAACGGAUGUAACCCCUACUUGCUCAAAUAGAUUCAAAACGAAAUUUAUAGUAAGUGUAGUUUUCUGAUAAAGAAAACUGGAUGAAAGUUUUACUUCAGGGGAAUACGUCAAGCCCUCAUGGUCCUUGUGAAGUAUGGGCUAUAGACGUGCUACAUGAAUUCAACAAACUGAGGCAAUAUUGCAAAAUGGAGCUAAUCAGUAAAAUAGAAUAUAGUAUAGAAGGCGAUUGUAGUCUGAAAUUCGACUGCAUGAAUCAGGAAUUCCGAGUAAUCGUUGAUUAGAAUGCAACGGUGAAUGUAUACAUUUAGGAGGUACUAACCGUCCAUCACAUGCCGCUCAUUGGUCAAGUCUGUAAUCUGUUCUUUUGUCAUUGACAAUUGGACAUUCAAAGGCUUCCGGUUCGUGGGAUGAAGUUGUAGCAAGGUAGCCGUAAGGGAGCUUGCGGCUGAUUGAUAACACAC
RNAcentral lists this ribosomal RNA (1407 nucleotides) under Meira sp. (in: smut fungi & allies). RNAcentral's name for it is "Meira sp. small subunit ribosomal RNA". It matches the Rfam family "Bacterial small subunit ribosomal RNA". Lineage: Eukaryota; Fungi; Basidiomycota; Exobasidiomycetes; Exobasidiales; Brachybasidiaceae. The record is from RNAcentral.